CUGAAUACCAGGAGGACUGAUUUGUGAGGUCAUUGAUGUUAGAAAGGAUCUGAUUGACAAGAAGCUCCAAAGAGCACAGAAAACACCGACGGCAAAGUCUUCAAAACAGGCAAUCCAAAGGAAGCACAGUCCAUGUCCGAGUCCAAAAGAAUUAUCAAAAAACGGAGCACAGCAGCCAAAGAAUCGAUUAUCGUAAAUAAACAAGAAUUCCACAACAGAAAAGAGUGGGGACCAUCCCCAUAUAAAGUCCAACGGACAAAGUAAAGAAAUAAAUAAUGAGGAUCAAAAUACUGUUAAACAGCAACUGAAAAUACAGUCAUGGCGUUUUUAUAUUGGAGAAAAAUGGUGGGUGGGUGGGAUUGACGUGGCAGGAGAUGACGUCAUAACUACAAGAUGGAUGUGACGUCAUCAAAAGGAGACCGGAUGUGAUGAUAUGGCGGAAGUGAUGCCAUCUUCGGGAGACCAGACGUGACAUCAUCAAGAUGGAGCCGGACGUGACGUCUGGCAGCCAUCUUGCGAACCCGGAAGUGUGUGAGAUGGUGCAUCCCAAACAUUUGCAGUAAGAAAAUGAAUUGCCACAAAAUGUUUGUCUGUGAUCACCGCUGCCUGUCGCUCCUCACCGCAGGAGCAGCUCAUCCGAAGAUGAAAAGAGCGAAGAUCUGGAGCAACGAUAAAGAUUUUAUUUCAGUGCUGGACGGUUUUCGCCUCAUUGAAUGAGAUGGAGUGGAAAAGUCAGGAAGGGGCUGGAAAUGAGUGAACGAGUAAUGGUGAGAAAAUGAUAAGACGCCCCCUUGAGGGAAAAUAACCCCGCCCCUUCCAGCAGCAGUGCUACAAAGGUCUGAGGCCUGCUGAUGUUGGCGUCGCGUUUGGACCUCGACGUAGCAGUGACAGACCUGCUCUCAAGAGCCAACGCCUUGUUGGUUUUUCUCCUCUUCCAUUUCUGGGCCCUCAGGCACUGAAUUUUGAUUUUAGAGGAUUAAGAGGCAUGACCCACGUUGGCACCCCAAUGGCUUUUGGAUUCAGCCAUCACCACCGGUCAUUGAAAUAUCGACUGAAUGUGUCCACGUCACUGCCCAGGGAGAUGAGCUCCAUCAUUCUGAUUAACGUUCAUUAACUCAGCAACAGAAAUGAUUCACUUUGUAGUACAAGCGUAAAGCAGGGGUGGGCAAUGUGGGUCCUGGU
Molecule: long non-coding RNA, 1182 nt
Organism: Polypterus senegalus (gray bichir)
Lineage: Eukaryota; Metazoa; Chordata; Cladistia; Polypteriformes; Polypteridae
Exons: 5
Source: RefSeq, a predicted model, not a curated record